Molecule: ribosomal RNA, 1355 nt
Filed under: uncultured bacterium
Lineage: Bacteria
Description: bacterial SSU rRNA
Rfam family: Bacterial small subunit ribosomal RNA
Source: RNAcentral
AUUGAACGCUGGCGGCAGGCUUAACACAUGCAAGUCGAACGAUGAUUAUCUAGCUUGCUAGAUAUGAUUAGUGGCGGACGGGUGAGUAACAUUUAGGAAUCUGCCUAGUAGUGGGGGAUAGCUCGGGGAAACUCGAAUUAAUACCGCAUACGACCUACGGGUGAAAGGGGGCGCAAGCUCUUGCUAUUAGAUGAGCCUAAAUCAGAUUAGCUAGUUGGUGGGGUAAAGGCCCACCAAGGCGACGAUCUGUAACUGGUCUGAGGGGAUGAUCAGUCACACCGGAACUGAGACACGGUCCGGACUCCUACGGGAGGCAGCAGUGGGGAAUAUUGGACAAUGGGGGCAACCCUGAUCCAGCCAUGCCGCGUGUGUGAAGAAGGCCUUUUGGUUGUAAAGCACUUUAAGCAGGGAGGAGAGGCUAAUGGUUAAUACCCAUUAGAUUAGACGUUACCUGCAGAAUAAGCACCGGCUAACUCUGUGCCAGCAGCCGCGGUAAUACAGAGGGUGCGAGCGUUAAUCGGAAUUACUGGGCGUAAAGCGAGUGUAGGUGGCUCAUUAAGUCACAUGUGAAAUCCCCGGGCUUAACCUGGGAACUGCAUGUGAUACUGGUGGUGCUAGAAUAUGUGAGAGGGAAGUAGAAUUCCAGGUGUAGCGGUGAAAUGCGUAGAGAUCUGGAGGAAUACCGAUGGCGAAGGCAGCUUCCUGGCAUAAUAUUGACACUGAGAUUCGAAAGCGUGGGUAGCAAACAGGAUUAGAUACCCUGGUAGUCCACGCCGUAAACGAUGUCUACUAGCCGUUGGGGUCCUUGAGACUUUAGUGGCGCAGUUAACGCGAUAAGUAGACCGCCUGGGGAGUACGGCCGCAAGGUUAAAACUCAAAUGAAUUGACGGGGGCCCGCACAAGCGGUGGAGCAUGUGGUUUAAUUCGAUGCAACGCGAAGAACCUUACCUGGUCUUGACAUAGUGAGAAUCUUUCAGAGAUGAGAGAGUGCCUUCGGGAAUUCACAUACAGGUGCUGCAUGGCUGUCGUCAGCUCGUGUCGUGAGAUGUUGGGUUAAGUCCCGCAACGAGCGCGACCCUUUUCCUUAUUUGCCAGCGGGUUAAGCCGGGAACUUUAAGGAUACUGCCAGUGACAAACUGGAGGAAGGCGGGGACGACGUCAAGUCAUCAUGGCCCUUACGACCAGGGCUACGCACGUGCUACAAUGGUAGGUACAGAGGGUUGCUACACAGCGAUGUGAUGCUAAUCUCAAAAAGCCUAUCGUAGUCCGGAUUGGAGUCUGCAACUCGACUCCAUGAAGUCGGAAUCGCUAGUAAUCGCAGAUCAGAAUGCUGCGGUGAAUACGUUCCCGGGCCU